RNAcentral lists this long non-coding RNA (1740 nucleotides) under Panax ginseng (ginseng). RNAcentral describes it as "long non-coding RNA (PGIN_LNC012354)". The record is from RNAcentral. Lineage: Eukaryota; Viridiplantae; Streptophyta; Magnoliopsida; Apiales; Araliaceae.
GCAUACCCAACUUGAAACACAAUGAAUGAAACAACAUAACAAAGCAAAACAGCAGCAUAUCAGCAACAUCAGUUUGUUCCCGCAAUAUAAAACGGAAUAACCAAAUCGGGCCCCAAAGCAUGAAAAACCAGACCCACAUGGGACCAAAACACCGUCAGAAAUCAGCGACGCAGCAAACAAGGACCCACGUGAGGCUGCAAAUUACAUUAAAACCAGCUGAAGCACAACAACCCACAAUAACGUGGGGAUGUGCAGUAAUCAGCAACAAUUAGCCCAUGUGGGCGCACCCAAAAAACAGCCAGUAAUCAGAGUGAGUAGAAUCCGUGGGACCCAAAAGUCACUCACUCAAACAAAUUAACAGCAGCCAAAACAGGAAAAAAAUGGUGCACCAAGGACACAAAGUAAGACACUCUGCCCCACCACCAAGAACAGCAGCAAUGUGCGACCAAAUGCACAAAGACCCUCGAGCAAAGAGCAAAAAAUCCCAUGCAUCAAUGGGCUAGCAGCAGGAAAUGACAAGGCCAUGUGCCAACCCCACAUGACUGCACCCAUGUGAGAACAAACAAAAUCAGCUAUAAAUUAAUGGCAAUAACAUGGCUUCCAAAAAGAGCACAACUUGGGCAACCCCACUUGGAAAAUGAAUGAGUAAAACUAGGAAACUGCCCCCAACCAAGUACAAAUCAGCAUGGGUACAAGAAUGAGCACCAUGUGAAGCCACCCAUACACAUUAAGAAGCACUAAAAGUCCAAAGUUGAGAAUACAACCGUGUGCAGCCACCAAAACAAUGAAGACAAACUGCAAAACGCAGCGGAAAACACCAUGAUUUCCGAUAGAAAACACCAUGAUUUCCGACCACAAGGUCAAGAAACCCAAACAUAAAAAUCUUCCUGCAAAAAUCCCCAGCAAACUGGGAGCAUAAAACUCCCCCUCAAAUGCAACUUUAGCUAAAGGGCAUUAAAGUGCAUUUGGAAGAGAUUCCCAGGCACAAUGUAACCUAGAAGGGACAAAGGGAUCACAACGGAUGCAAGCAACAAAGUGGAUGGCAGUUGUAGCUCAUGAGUAAAACAGCCCAAGUGGGUGGACUAAGCAACAAAGUAGCUGAAAAAUGCUUCCAAACCCUAAACCCAUGUGAGCACAAGCAAAAUCAGCUAUAAAUUACUAGCAAUAACGUGGCUGCCAAAAACAGCACAACUUGGGCAACCCCACUUGGAAAAUCAACAAGUAAAACUAGGAAACUGCCACCCACCAAGUACAAAUCAGCAUGGGCACAAGAAUGAGCACCAUGUGCAACCACCCAUACACAUUAAGAUGCAUUAAAAGUCCAAAGUUGAGAAUACAACCGUGUGCAGCCACCAAAACAAUUUAGACGAACUGCAAACGCAGCGGAAAACACCAUAAUUUCCGAUAGAAAACACCAUGAUUUCCGACCACAAGGUCAAGAAACCCAAAUGUAAAAAUCUUCCUGCAAAAACCCCCAGCAAACUGGGAGCAUAAAACUCCCCCUCAAAUGCAACUUUAGCUAAAGGGCAUUAAAGUGCAUUUGGAAGAGACUCCCAGGCACAAUGUAACCUAGAAGGGACAAAGGGAUCACAGCAGAUGCAAGCAACAAAGUGGAUGGCAGUUGUAGCUCAUGAGUAAAACAGCCCAAGUGGCGUGGACUAAGUAACAAAGUAGCUGAAAAAUCAGCAAAUGAGCUGCUAACUAAAGUCCAACAAUCAGCCACAAGGAAGUGAGAGUAGC